This 336-nucleotide unclassified non-coding RNA is filed under the name soil metagenome. RNAcentral describes it as "partial contains 5.8S ribosomal RNA, internal transcribed spacer 2, and large subunit ribosomal RNA". The stretch from base 1 to 120 matches the Rfam family "5.8S ribosomal RNA", at positions 35 to 154 of the family's 154-position model. The record is from RNAcentral.
GAUGAAGAACGUAGUGAAAUGCGAUAAGUAAUGUGAAUUGCAGAAUUCAGUGAAUCAUCGAAUCUUUGAACGCACAUUUCGCCCGCCAGUAUUCUGGCGGGCAUGCCUGUUCGAGCGUCAUUUCAACCAUCAAGCCCCAGGCUUGUGUUGGGGACCUGCGGCUGCCGCAGGCCCUGAAAACCAGUGGCGGGCUCGCUGUCACACCGGGCGUAGUAGAUUUUAUCUCGCUCAGGGCGUGCUGCGGGUUCCGGCCGUUAAAAAGCCUUUUUUACCCAAGGUUGACCUCGGAUCAGGUAGGAAGACCCGCUGAACUUAAGCAUAUCAAUAAGCGGAGGA